CUUGCUUCUCUUGAGAGCGGCGGACGGGUGAGUAAUGCCUAGGAAUCUGCCUGGUAGUGGGGGAUAACGUCCGGAAACGGACGCUAAUACCGCAUACGUCCUACGGGAGAAAGCAGGGGACCUUCGGGCCUUGCGCUAUCAGAUGAGCCUAGGUCGGAUUAGCUAGUUGGUGGGGUAAUGGCUCACCAAGGCGACGAUCCGUAACUGGUCUGAGAGGAUGAUCAGUCACACUGGAACUGAGACACGGUCCAGACUCCUACGGGAGGCAGCAGUGGGGAAUAUUGGACAAUGGGCGAAAGCCUGAUCCAGCCAUGCCGCGUGUGUGAAGAAGGUCUUCGGAUUGUAAAGCACUUUAAGUUGGGAGGAAGGGCAGUAAAUUAAUACUUUGCUGUUUUGACGUUACCGACAGAGUAAGCACCGGCUAACUCUGUGCCAGCAGCCGCGGUAAUACAGAGGGUGCAAGCGUUAAUCGGAAUUACUGGGCGUAAAGCGCGCGUAGGUGGUUCGUUAAGUUGGAUGUGAAAUCCCCGGGCUCAACCUGGGAACUGCAUUCAAAACUGACGAGCUAGAGUAUGGUAGAGGGUGGUGGAAUUUCCUGUGUAGCGGUGAAAUGCGUAGAUAUAGGAAGGAACACCAGUGGCGA
This 643-nucleotide ribosomal RNA is filed under the name uncultured bacterium. RNAcentral's name for it is "bacterial SSU rRNA". It matches the Rfam family "Bacterial small subunit ribosomal RNA", at positions 79 to 718 of the family's 1533-position model. The record is from RNAcentral.